CCAACACCGCGAGGCAAAGGCGCGCUCUGCUCACUUCCAUGAAAGGUUCGGAAUGGAGCUUGGCCCCCGGGGCUCGAAUCGCUCACUUCUCCGUUAGGUUAAGCUGGCCAUGGGCCAGCUAGAUUCGAGAUUCUUUCUGAACCCUCAGGGCGAACAGGCUACCUGCCCCGGUGCGGCCCGCGGGGCUGUGUGGAACAGUUGGCCUCUCUGCGAAUGCUUGAGUGCCACCCAGAGGGGACCCGCCCGGCCACCGCCGCCCGCCUGGAGAGGAGGGCCGAAGGACACCCGACGCAAACCUGUCUCCCCGGCGCUCGGAGAAGGGCUUUCACAAACAACCCACGCAUCCCCAGCGCCGAAAUCCGGGCUGGUGGAAGAGGUUACUGUCCUACCCUAGCUAACAGCUACUCUUUAUUGAACUCUUCUCAUCUCUACAGCCUCCAUAAAAAUAUAAUUUACCACCUUUUGAGCACCUGCUAUGUGUUAUUUAGACUUUGUGGCAACUCCAUGAGGAACAAAAGCGAAGUUUGUUAUUUGUUCAUUCCUUGCAUUUGAAGUCCUCCGUCUCGACAUCAUCCUUGGCCUGAAACUCUGCUCAAGUCCUUAACCACACGACGGCAACCAGCCACUCCAGGUGGGUUUGCCUCUUGUCAGUUUUACACAGGUUUACCCAGUCCCCUAGUUACUUGUCCUCAGCAGCCUUAAUUAGGCUGCUUUGGUGUUCAGCACAAAGGGCCUCCAUCAGCUGACAGACAGGCUCAUCCCAGUUGGAUGCAAGCUCACAAAGGGAGGCUUUAACAAUUUCUUGAAUUCCAUUUGCUAGGCCAUCCCCGACGGGACAGUCUUCAGCACCCCUUGUAAAGCCAUGGCUCUGGGUUCCUAGGGGAGCCAAAUCUUGAAUUCACUGGAGCCUCCGGGUGACUGAGGGUGGUAGGGAAAAGAGCUAGACUUCUCAUUAGGACCUUCCUGUGUUUUGCCCAAAUUUCCAUAACAAGGAUGAUUUGCUUUAAAAUUUGGCAAAACAGUAAGAAAACAGCAAGAGUUAUUCAUUGAAAAUGCAUGUUAUUCAGGAACAUUGGG
RNAcentral lists this long non-coding RNA (1077 nucleotides) under Capra hircus (goat). Its description in RNAcentral is "lncRNA (ENSCHIG00000003949.1)". The record is from RNAcentral. Lineage: Eukaryota; Metazoa; Chordata; Mammalia; Artiodactyla; Bovidae.